AAAUGCGAUUGGAGAUCACAAGGAGAGGUGGCCCCUCGGGAUCAUCUGCUCUCCUCUUUAUCACAGCCUGGCUUAGGUCCUUCUGCUUGAGGUCUUCCCCAGCACCCUUUCUUCCACUCUUGUUUAGAUGAUCAAUGACCUCACUGUGCUCACUCCCUUGAAUUGUGGAUUCUUUUCCUAAUGAAUAAUCAGGCUUCCUAAAAAUUUGUUUUAUUUUGAGUGAUUAAGGAAAGAGGUUGUUUGAAAGAGGAAGAUUAAGGAAAUGUAUUGCUGUGCAGAGUAAUGAAUACCAGGUAAAGUCAUCUUAAGGGAGAGGAAGUUAAAGAGUCCAAUAAAAGGAGCAAUAAAAAUUAAUGGGAUAAACUUACGAUAGAGGGGGAAAUAGAUUGAAUAUUCUGGGAAUUGGUAUUACAUUAAUAUCCAAGAAUCUCUUGGAGGGGGCAGUCUAGCAGUGGCUCAGGGAAGGUGGAUCUGAGCAAGUUACUUGCCUGAGCUACAGUUUCCUUAGAAUGUGGCUAAUAAUACCACUGUGUGGAGCCCCGGUUAGAACGGGGUCUGACUGUGUAUGUAGAACUUUCCACAUUGCCUAGCACACAGCAUUUCUUUUCUCUUUUCCUUGGAUGCAACAAAUGUUAGUAUUAAAAGUGAACAACUAGCUGGCAUGGUGGCAUAUGCCUGUAAUUCCAGUGACCCGGGAGGCUGAGGCAGAAGGAUCACAAGUUCAAAACUAGCCUCGGGAAAACUGGAAAUCCAUAUGCAACAAAAUGAAGUUAAACCCCUAUCUCUCACCAUGCACAAAACUCAACUCACACUGGAUCAAGGACCUAGGAAUUAAACCAGAGACCCAGAAGGCCAGAAGAAAAAGUAGGCCCAAAUCUCCAUCAUGUUCCAUUAGGCCCCAACUUCCUUAAUAAGACUUCUAUAGCACAAGAAUUAAAAUCAAGAAUUAAUAAAUGUGAUGGAUCCAAACUAAAAAUCUUCUUCUCAGCAAAAGAAACAAUCUGUGAGGUGAAUAGGGAGCCUACAUUUUGGGAGCAAAUUUUUACCACUUGAACAUCAGAUAGAACACUAAUCUCUAGGGUAUAUAAAGAACACAAAAAGCUAAACGCCAAGAAAACAAAUAACCCAAUCAAUAAAUG
RNAcentral lists this long non-coding RNA (1139 nucleotides) under Marmota monax (woodchuck). The record is from RNAcentral. Lineage: Eukaryota; Metazoa; Chordata; Mammalia; Rodentia; Sciuridae.